GAUGAACGCUGGCGGCGUGCCUAAUACAUGCAAGUCGAGCGAACAGACGAGGAGCUUGCUCCUCUGACUUUAGCGGCGGACGGGUGAGUAACACGUGGAUAACCUACCUAUAAGACUGGGAUCACUUCGUGAAACCGGAGCUAAUACCGGAUAAUAUAUUGAACCGCAUGGUUCAAUAGUGAAAGACGGUUUUGCUGUCACUUAUAGAUUGCUCCGCGCCGCAUUAGCUAGUUGGUAAGGUAACGGUUUACCAAGGCAACGAUGCGUAGCCGAACUGAGAGAGUGAUAGGACACACUGGACCUGUGAUACGGUCCAGACGCCUACGGGAAGCAGAAGUAGCGAAUCUUCCGCAAUGGGCGAACACCUGACGGAGCAACGCCGAGUGAGGGAUGAAGGUGUACAGAUCGUAAAACUCUGUUAUUAGGGAAGAACAAGUGGGAGAGUAACUAUGCACGUCUUGAAGGUACCUAAUCAGAGAGUAAAGGCGAACUACGUG
RNAcentral lists this ribosomal RNA (497 nucleotides) under uncultured bacterium. Its description in RNAcentral is "partial 16S ribosomal RNA". It matches the Rfam family "Bacterial small subunit ribosomal RNA", at positions 28 to 507 of the family's 1533-position model. The record is from RNAcentral.